GGGUUGUGAGGUUAAGCGACUAAGCGUACACGGUGGAUGCCCUGGCAGUCAGAGGCGAUGAAGGACGUGCUAAUCUGCGAAAAGCGUCGGUAAGGUGAUAUGAACCGUUAUAACCGGCGAUGUCCGAAUGGGGAAACCCAGUGUGAUUCGUCACACUAUCGUUAACUGAAUACAUAGGUUAACGAGGCGAACCGGGGGAACUGAAACAUCUAAGUACCCCGAGGAAAAGAAAUCAACCGAGAUUCCCCCAGUAGCGGCGAGCGAACGGGGAGCAGCCCAGAGUCUGAAUCAGCUUGUGUGUUAGUGGAACGGUCUGGAAAGUCCGACGGUACAGGGUGAUAGUCCCGUACACCAAAAUGCACAGGCUGUGAACUCGAAGAGUAGGGCGGGACACGUGGUAUCCUGUCUGAAUAUGGGGGGACCAUCCUCCAAGGCUAAAUACUCCUGACUGACCGAUAGUGAACCAGUACCGUGAGGGAAAGGCGAAAAGAACCCCGGCGAGGGGAGUGAAAAAGAACCUGAAACCGUGUACGUACAAGCAGUGGGAGCACCUUCGGGUGUGACUGCGUACCUUUUGUAUAAUGGGUCAGCGACUUAUAUUCUGUAGCAAGGUUAACCGUAUAGGGGAGCCGCAGGGAAACCGAGUCUUAACUGGGCGUUAAGUUGCAGGGUAUAGACCCGAAACCCGGUGAUCUAGCCAUGGGCAGGUUGAAGGUUGGGUAACACUAACUGGAGGACCGAACCGACUAAUGUUGAAAAAUUAGCGGAUGACUUGUGGCUGGGGGUGAAAGGCCAAUCAAACCGGGAGAUAGCUGGUUCUCCCCGAAAGCUAUUUAGGUAGCGCCUCGUGAAUUCAUCUUCGGGGGUAGAGCACUGUUUCGGCUAGGGGGUCAUCCCGACUUACCAACCCGAUGCAAACUACGAAUACCGAAGAAUGUUAUCACGGGAGACACACGGCGGGUGCUAACGUCCGUCGUGAAGAGGGAAACAACCCAGACCGCCAGCUAAGGUCCCAAAGUCAUGGUUAAGUGGGAAACGAUGUGGGAAGGCACAGACAGCCAGGAUGUUGGCUUAGAAGCAGCCAUCAUUUAAAGAAAGCGUAAUAGCUCACUGGUCGAGUCGGCCUGCGCGGAAGAUGUAACGGGGCUAAACCAUGCACCGAAGCUGCGGCAGCGACACUAUGUGUUGUUGGGUAGGGGAGCGUUCUGUAAGCCUGCGAAGGUGACCUGUGAGGGUUGCUGGAGGUAUCAGAAGUGCGAAUGCUGACAUAAGUAACGAUAAAGCGGGUGAAAAGCCCGCUCGCCGGAAGACCAAGGGUUCCUGUCCAACGUUAAUCGGGGCAGGGUGAGUCGACCCCUAAGGCGAGGCCGAAAGGCGUAGUCGAUGGGAAACAGGUUAAUAUUCCUGUACUUGGUGUUACUGCGAAGGGGGGACGGAGAAGGCUAUGUUAGCCGGGCGACGGUUGUCCCGGUUUAAGCAUGUAGGCUGGUUGUCCAGGCAAAUCCGGAUAAUCAAGGCUGAGGUGUGAUGACGAGGCACUACGGUGCUGAAGUAACAAAUGCCCUGCUUCCAGGAAAAGCCUCUAAGCAUCAGGUAACAUUAAAUCGUACCCCAAACCGACACAGGUGGUCAGGUAGAGAAUACCAAGGCGCUUGAGAGAACUCGGGUGAAGGAACUAGGCAAAAUGGUGCCGUAACUUCGGGAGAAGGCACGCUGGUGUGUAGGUGAAGUCCCUGCGGAUGGAGCUGAGACCAGUCGAAGAUACCAGCUGGCUGCAACUGUUUAUUAAAAACACAGCACUGUGCAAACACGAAAGUGGACGUAUACGGUGUGACGCCUGCCCGGUGCCGGAAGGUUAAUUGAUGGGGUUAUCCGUAAGGAGAAGCUCUUGAUCGAAGCCCCGGUAAACGGCGGCCGUAACUAUAACGGUCCUAAGGUAGCGAAAUUCCUUGUCGGGUAAGUUCCGACCUGCACGAAUGGCGUAAUGAUGGCCAGGCUGUCUCCACCCGAGACUCAGUGAAAUUGAACUCGCUGUGAAGAUGCAGUGUACCCGCGGCAAGACGGAAAGACCCCGUGAACCUUUACUAUAGCUUGACACUGAACAUUGAGCCUUGAUGUGUAGGAUAGGUGGGAGGCUUUGAAGCGUGGACGCCAGUCUGCGUGGAGCCAACCUUGAAAUACCACCCUUUAAUGUUUGAUGUUCUAACGUUGGCCCCUGACCGGGGUUGCGGACAGUGUCUGGUGGGUAGUUUGACUGGGGCGGUCUCCUCCCAAAGCGUAACGGAGGAGCACGAAGGUUAGCUAAUCCUGGUCGGACAUCAGGAGGUUAGUGCAAUGGCAUAAGCUAGCUUGACUGCGAGCGUGACGGCGCGAGCAGGUGCGAAAGCAGGUCAUAGUGAUCCGGUGGUUCUGAAUGGAAGGGCCAUCGCUCAACGGAUAAAAGGUACUCCGGGGAUAACAGGCUGAUACCGCCCAAGAGUUCAUAUCGACGGCGGUGUUUGGCACCUCGAUGUCGGCUCAUCACAUCCUGGGGCUGAAGUAGGUCCCAAGGGUAUGGCUGUUCGCCAUUUAAAGUGGUACGCGAGCUGGGUUUAGAACGUCGUGAGACAGUUCGGUCCCUAUCUGCCGUGGGCGCUGGAGAAUUGAGGGGGGCUGCUCCUAGUACGAGAGGACCGGAGUGGACGCAUCACUGGUGUUCGGGUUGUCAUGCCAAUGGCACUGCCCGGUAGCUAAAUGCGGAAGAGAUAAGUGCUGAAAGCAUCUAAGCACGAAACUUGCCCCGAGAUGAGUUCUCCCUGAGACUUUAAGUCUCCUGAAGGAACGUUGAAGACGACGACGUUGAUAGGCCGGGUGUGUAAGCGCAGCGAUGCGUUGAGCUAACCGGUACUAAUGAACCGUGAGGCUUAACCUUACAACGCCGAAG
Molecule: ribosomal RNA, 2923 nt
Filed under: Klebsiella pneumoniae
Lineage: Bacteria; Pseudomonadati; Pseudomonadota; Gammaproteobacteria; Enterobacterales; Enterobacteriaceae
Description: bacterial LSU rRNA
Rfam family: Bacterial large subunit ribosomal RNA
Source: RNAcentral